This 468-nucleotide ribosomal RNA is filed under the name uncultured bacterium. RNAcentral describes it as "partial 16S ribosomal RNA". It matches the Rfam family "Bacterial small subunit ribosomal RNA", at positions 28 to 507 of the family's 1533-position model. The record is from RNAcentral.
GACGAACGCUGGCGGCGUGCUUAACACAUGCAAGUCGAACGGAAAGGCCCUGCUUUUGUGGGGUGCUCGAGUGGCGAACGGGUGAGUAACACGUGAGUAACCUGCCCUUGACUUUGGGAUAACUUCAGGAAACUGGGGCUAAUACCGGAUAGGAGCUCCUGCUGCAUGGUGGGGGUUGGAAAGUUUCGGCGGUUGGGGAUGGACUCGCGGCUUAUCAGCUUGUUGGUGGGGUAGUGGCUUACCAAGGCUUUGACGGGUAGCCGGCCUGAGAGGGUGACCGGCCACAUUGGGACUGAGAUUCGGCCCAGACUCCUACGGGAGGCAGCAGUGGGGAAUAUUGCACAAUGGGCGGAAGCCUGAUGCAGCAACGCCGCGUGCGGGAUGACGGCCUUCGGGUUGUAAACCGCUUUCGCCUGUGACGAAGCGUGAGUGACGGUAAUGGGUAAAGAAGCACCGGCUAACUACGUG